AUGCACGCUGGCGGCGUGCCUAAUACAUGCAAGUCGAGCGAACAGACGAGGAGCUUGCUCCUCUGACGUUAGCGGCGGACGGGUGAGUAACACGUGGAUAACCUACCUAUAAGACUGGGAUAACUUCGGGAAACCGGAGCUAAUACCGGAUAAUAUAUUGAACCGCAUGGUUCAAUAGUGAAAGACGGUUUUGCUGUCACUUAUAGAUGGAUCCGCGCCGCAUUAGCUAGUUGGUAAGGUAACGGCUUACCAAGGCAACGAUGCGUAGCCGACCUGAGAGGGUGAUCCGCCACACUGGAACUGAGACCCGGUCCCGACUCCUACGGGAGGCAGCCGUAGGGAAUCUUCCGCAAUGGGCGAAAGCUUGACGGAGCAACGCCGCGUGAGUGAUGAAGGUCUUCGGAUCGUAAAACUCUGUUAUUAGGGAAGAACAAAUGUGUAAGUAACUAUGCACGUCUUGACGGUACCUAAUCGGAAAGCCACGGCUAACUACGUG
Molecule: ribosomal RNA, 496 nt
Filed under: uncultured bacterium
Lineage: Bacteria
Description: partial 16S ribosomal RNA
Rfam family: Bacterial small subunit ribosomal RNA
Source: RNAcentral